CACAGGGAGCGGCGAACGGCUGAGUAACACGUUGGAACCUACCCCAGACUCAGGGAUAUCCCCAAGAAAUUGGGUUUAAUACCGGAUAGUCUCGUAAGAGUAAAGCUUUUGCGGUCUGGGAGGGGCCUGCGGCCUAUCAGUUUGUUGGUAAGGUAACGGCUUACCAACACUAUGACGGGUAGCUGAUCUGAGAGGAUGAUCAGCCAGAAUGGGACUGAGACACGGCCCAUACUCCUACGGGAGGCAGCAGUUAGGAAUCUUCCGCAAUGGGCGAAAGCCUGACGGAGCGACACCGCGUGAAGGAUGACACCCUUUCCGGGCGUAAACUUCUGUUCUGAGGGAACAAAUUUUUGAGGGUACCUCAGGAGAAAGCACCGGCUAAUUCCGUGCCAGCAGCCGCGGUAAGACGGAAGGUGCAAGCGUUACUCGGAAUCACUGGGCGUAAAGCGUCUGUAGGUGUUUUGUAAAGUCUGGUGUUAAAGCACAGAGCUCAACUCUGUUGUAUGUACUGGAAACUUGCAAAAUUGAGCAACUCAGAGGCAUCUGGAAUGCCGUGUGUAGGGGUAAAAUCCGUUGAUCCACGGUAGAACGCUAAAAGCGAAAGCAGGAUGCUGGGAGUUUGCUGACACUCAGAGACGAAAGCGUGGGUAGCGAACGGGAUUAGAUACCCCGGUAGUCCACGCCCUAAACGAUGCGUGUUCGGUGUGGGGGGCACUGUUUCGAUCAUCCCUCCGUGCCUUAGCUAACGCGGUAAGCACGCCGCCUGGGAAGUACGGUCGCAAGAUUAAAACUCAAAGGAAUAGACGGGGACCCACACAAGCGGCGGAGCAUGGGGUUUAAUUCGAUACUAAGCGGGGCACCUCACCCAGACUUGACAUCCCGGAAAGGUUCUAGAAAUAGAACUGUGCCGCAAGGAAUCCGGUGACAGGCGCUGCACGGUCGUCGUCACUCGUGCCUUGAGGUGUGUUGUUAAGUCAAUGAACGAGCGCAACCCUUAUCCUGUGUUGUUUUUUCACAGGAGACUGCCGGCUCCAAGCCGGAGGAAGGUAAGGAUGACGUCAGAUCAGCGUGGCCCUUAUGUCUGGGGCGACACCCGUGCUACAAUGGCUGGUACAAAGGGUAGCCAAGCCGCGAGGCGGAGCCAAUCCCGUAAAAGCCAGUCUCAGUUCGGAUCGAAGUCUGCAACUCGACUUCGUGAAGUUGGAAUCGCUAGUAACCGUAAAUCAGCCACGUUACGGUGAAUAUGUUCCUGGGUCUUGUACUCACCGCCCGUCAAGUGAUGAAAGGCAGAUACGCCCGAAGCUCUUUUACCCGUAAGGGGGAGAACCACGGCGGAGCUGCUGAUUGGCACUAAGUCGUAACAAGGUA
This 1368-nucleotide ribosomal RNA is filed under the name metagenome. RNAcentral's name for it is "bacterial SSU rRNA". It matches the Rfam family "Bacterial small subunit ribosomal RNA". The record is from RNAcentral.